This 189-nucleotide ribosomal RNA is filed under the name uncultured Staphylococcus sp. RNAcentral's name for it is "partial 16S ribosomal RNA". It matches the Rfam family "Bacterial small subunit ribosomal RNA", at positions 151 to 334 of the family's 1533-position model. The record is from RNAcentral. Lineage: Bacteria; Bacillati; Bacillota; Bacilli; Caryophanales; Staphylococcaceae.
UGGAAACCGGAGCUAAUACCGGAUAAUAUUUUGAACCGCAUGGUUCAAAAGUGAAAGACGGUCUUGCUGUCACUUAUAGAUGGAUCCGCGCUGCAUUAGCUAGUUGGUAAGGUAACGGCUUACCAAGGCAACGAUGCAUAGCCGACCUGAGAGGGUGAUCGGCCACACUGGAACUGAGACACGGUCCAG